GACGAACGCUGGCGGCGUGCUUAACACAUGCAAGUCGAACGGAAAGACCCUGCUUUCGUGCGGUGCCCGAGUGGCGAACGGGUGCGUAACACGUGUGUAACGUACCCUUGUCUUUGGGAUAACUUCAGGAAGCUGGGGUUAAUACCGUACAGGAUCUCCUGCUGCGUGGAGGGCGUUGGAAAGUUUCGGCGGUCGGGGAUGGACUGGCGGCUUACCAGCUAGUUGGUUGGGUAGUGGCUUACCCAGGCUUUGACGGAUAGCCGGCCUGAGAGGGUGACCGGCGACAUUGGGACUGAGAUACGGACCAGACUGCUACGGGAGGCAGCAGGGGGGAGUAUGGCACAGUGGGCGGGAGCCUGAGGCAGAGGCGCCGCGGGCGGAAAGACGGCCUUCGGGUUGUAAACCGCAUUCGCCUGUGACGAAGCGGGAGUGACGGUAAUGAGUAAAGAAGCACCGGCUAACUACGUG
RNAcentral lists this ribosomal RNA (468 nucleotides) under uncultured bacterium. Its description in RNAcentral is "partial 16S ribosomal RNA". It matches the Rfam family "Bacterial small subunit ribosomal RNA", at positions 28 to 507 of the family's 1533-position model. The record is from RNAcentral.